GUCGGCGCCCCGCGCCCGCCUGCAGCCGGGGGUCCCGGGCUCGGCCGCCCCGCGCGCCCGGCCCGCUGGGGAUGGCCGCUGCGGCCGUGUCCGUGGCGCUCCGACGGCCGCGCGUCCCCGGAGGAUGACCUAGGGCCCGCCGCCCACCCCGCCGCCGCCGGACGCGACCCCCCGACGCCAGCCCAGCCGGGCCCGGCCCCCCGAGCGAGCCGCCGCGUCGGCGCCGCCCUCCCGGGCACGCCUCUCCGGAGCGCGCCGCCGGGCUUGCCCCUCCUGGACCGUCGUCGGCCCCCGGCCACCGAGGGGGGGCCCUGACUUUGGCUUUUUCUUUUUUUUUUUUCCCUUUUCACUUUUUUUUCUCGGGGGGGGUGGGAGGGCAGGGUGGGGGUGGCGUGUGAACUUUUGUUGACUUUGUUUGACUUUUGCGGGGAAGGGGCGCCCUCAGAGCCGACCCCGCCUCCCUCCCGUGUCCCUUACUCCCCAGCCCCCCCCCACCCCGGGAAUCCCGGGACUGUGCGCAGCAGAAGGGGCGCAGCAGAAGGAUGGAGGUGGCCGAGCCGCAGCCGCUGGGCCUGUUCCCCGAGGACGAGCUCAUGUCCGUGGGCAUGGACACCUUCAUCCACCGCAUCGACUCCACCGAGGUCAUCUACCAGCCCCGCCGCAAGCGCGCCAAGCUCAUCGGCAAGUACCUCAUGGGCGACCUGCUGGGCGAGGGCUCCUACGGCAAGGUGAAGGAGGUGCUGGACUCGGAGACCCUGUGCCGGCGCGCCGUGAAGAUCCUCAAGAAGAAGAAGCUGAGGCGCAUCCCCAACGGGGAGGCCAACGUGAAGAAGGAGAUCCAGCUGCUGCGGCGCUUGCGGCACCAGAACGUCAUCCAGCUGGUGGACGUGCUCUACAACGAGGAGAAGCAGAAGAUGUAUAUGGUGAUGGAGUACUGCGUGUGUGGCAUGCAGGAGAUGCUGGACAGCGUGCCCGAGCGCCGGUUCCCGGUGUGCCAGGCCCACGGCUACUUCUGCCAGCUGGUGGACGGCCUGGAGUACCUGCACAGCCAGGGCAUCGUGCACAAGGACAUCAAGCCCGGCAACCUGCUGCUCACCACGGCCGGGACCCUCAAGAUCUCCGACCUGGGCGUGGCCGAGGCCCUACACCCCUUCGCCGAGGAUGACACGUGCCGGACGAGCCAGGGCUCUCCCGCCUUCCAGCCCCCCGAGAUCGCCAAUGGCCUGGACACCUUUUCGGGUUUCAAGGUGGACAUCUGGUCGGCAGGGGUGACGCUCUACAACAUCACAACGGGCCUGUACCCCUUCGAGGGGGACAAUAUCUACAAACUGUUUGAGAACAUUGGCAAGGGUGACUACAGCAUCCCGGGGGACUGCGGGCCGCCGCUCUCUGACCUUCUCAGGGGGAUGCUGGAGUACGAGCCGUCCCGGAGGUUCUCGCUGCAGCAGAUCCGGCAGCACAGCUGGUUCCGCAAGAAGCACCCGCCGGCCGAGGCGCCGGUGCCCAUCCCGCCGAGCGCGGACUGCCGGGACCGCUGGCGCGGGAUGACGGUGGUGCCCUACCUGGAGGACCUGCACGGUUGCGCCGACGACGCCGACGAGGACCUCUUUGACAUCGAUGACGACAUUGUCUACACUCAGGACUUCACGGUGCCAGGUCCCGGAGGAGGGCUCCGGUCAGAACGGACAGAGCUGGGGCCUGCCCAAGGCCGUGUGUAUGAACGGCACGGAGUCGGCACAGCUGAGCGGCCGCCCCCGGGCUGAGCGCAGGGCCAGCGCCAACUCCACCCCCGCGCGCAAGGCCUGCUCGGCCAGCAGCCGCCUGCGCCGCCUGUCUGCCUGCAAGCAGCAGUGAGCGCACCGCCCACAGGCGAGCUCCAGGAGCCACAGCCCCGCCCCCGGCUUCCCGCCCAAGGCCAGGGUAGCGCCUCGGCCACUGCUGGCCAGGGUCAGCAGACACUGGGGGUCUGGCCCCGCGUGCCCGGCCGGGCACUCGUCCGCCCGUGGACUUGGCCACAGAUGCCCAGCCGGGCCCAGAGUGGAGGAGGAUGCGCCCUGUGUGGGGCCAGGAACCCCCGCCAUGCACUUUACGUUCCAACACUGGUUCGCGCCGGCCUGGACGCCGCUCCCCCGGGACGCCGUGGGGCUGGUGCGGGGAACCUGCCAGCAGGAUGCAUGCCCAGCCCCCGAGGGAGCCGGGCGGCUGUCUCAUUUCGUUUGGUUGGUUCUUUUAUUUCUUUUUUUAAGAAAAAAAUAAAACAGGUGGAUUUGA
RNA transcript from Sorex araneus (European shrew), 2271 nucleotides. It is a transcript of the gene named serine/threonine kinase 11, with no coding region annotated. The record is from RefSeq and is a predicted model, not a curated record. The transcript is spliced from 10 exons. NCBI's taxonomy places the organism in Eukaryota, Metazoa, Chordata, Mammalia, Eulipotyphla, Soricidae.